CUAGAAGGAGGAAAAAAAAUACAAAAAACAUCAUAUAGGUAAAGGUAAGAAAUAAGGUGGGCCUGCAUGAUUAACACAAUAAAGACAUGGGCUAUGCUGAGGUACCCUCCUUUAUUUGGGGAAUAUUCGAACAUUCCAGGCCAAGUUGCUCCUGGCUUUUUGAGCUCUAAUUGAUAAACUCUGGGUCUUUUUAAUGGACUUUCAUGGCCUUUUUCACUUUCUACCCCGCUCAUGCCUAUUUUCCUGCCUAACAGAAAUAUCAGACAAUCAUUUGCUCAAAUGUUGGAGGCCUUGCAUGGCAUUCUCCACAUCUGGGCUUCCCUAUGGGGAAAUGGAAACAAAUACAUCUACCUUUAUGACUCUUAGCUGGAGGUAAGUGGUAAACAUACCUGCUAGACAAAGUAGAUUUCUUGGUAUAUAUGAAUGAGUGGCUGGGGAUAGGAAGUCUGUAUAGAUACAGAGUUCAGAGCCCCACUGAAGUUUUUGAACAUUAGUAAUUCUGCCCUCUCACCUGUUUAGCAUUUUUUUCUCUACCUCAUUUUCUUUCCUUGAUAGGUUUUUUUUGCUAUAUUCAUAAGGCAUCUACCUGUCAAUCCUUCCUUUGUGCACAGCUAAAGCAUUAUAGAAUUAGGCACAAUCUAUGAUUUAGUUCAUUGAUGGAUUGGAUUAUUUGUGCUGAAAAUUGAAGUUUGCUUUUGGUACAAAAACUCAGUUACCUGAGGUAAUUGGAUCAUUUCCCUCUCGCUCCAACCCCAAGCCAGUAUCUUCUUAUUUAAAAUAAUGUACAUGUAGAUAUGACUCAGAAUAAAUUCUGUAUUAAAAUUUAAUUUCUGCUCCUAUGGUUCUCAAGCUGACCCAAGGAGCUUUUCUUUCUGUCAGCUAUAUAUAUAAAUGGUAUUUACUGUAUGGGAAAUUAAAACUGAGACAUUUAAAAAAUAUUUAUAAAUUCAGUUAAAAAUAAAUAUGAAGGCAUUUUUGUUGAAAAAUAGCCAUGUGUACCAAAACCAAUUUAGUAAGGAAAGUGGCAUCCUUCCAUACUUGGGAAUCUCUUCAGUGCCUGCCUUAAUAGAAGACAGCUGGAUUCUUACCUGCUUCUGCAUCUAAUUUGUUGAACUGUCACACCUAUUAGUAAACUCCACUCCUAGUCUUGAGUGAGAGUGAGAGUGAAAAGGGAGAGUAACACGAUAGCAUUUGGUGAGAAUAAUUUUGACCCCAGUGUGUCCCUUCAAAGGGUCGUGGAGUUCCCCAGGGUUCGCAGGCCACUUUGAGAACUGCUGGUGCAGACUAUAAAGAACAUAACUUUACAUUAUUAUCAUAGGAAUGUUAAGGAAUGCGUGAUAGGAGUACUCUCCCUAGAUUUUAGAUGUAAGUCUCAACCCACAUGUGUAGGAUAGGAUUUAAUUAAUAAUAUAGUUACACUUAAUAACCAAAAGACAUAUAGCUUGCAUUUUAUAUAACCUGCUUAAACUUUAUAUAGCCUUAGACACAUAUCUAAAAGUCUAUUUAAUCUUACACACUUAAAGUAAAAAUCAUAGCCCACACGCUUAACCCACAUGCUGUCUUAUGCCAUUUUCUGUUUAGCACCUAGCACGUAGCUUACAUGAAUUACUAAUCACAAUAGACUAGGGGAAAGUUAAAAAUUAAAUGUUAAAUGGCUACUAGUAGAAGAAAUAAUGAUAUUUACUUAAGGGUAAUAAGCUGAAAUUAUGUAAACUGUCAGAAAAAGGAUUGUAUUAUUCAUGAUUAAAAAAUGUUUAACAUUAUGUAAACCUUAAAAAGACAUUAUAACAAAGACCCUGCGGCUUGACAUCAGGAGAUGUUACAACUUUAAUUGGGUGUUCCAUCUCCUCAUUCAUCUCACUUGCCGAUGCUGUCCUUUCCUUCGUGACCCACACCUCAGCUGGAGCUGGACUCCGGCAAGUGGCGCCCAUGGUGGGGCACGAAGGACCCAGAUACACCCGUGUGGGUACCAGACAAACUCAUCAGACAAGUCUCAACCACCACCUCCUCCCCCACACAACUUCCUGAGAUGAAGUGAAAGUCCCUGCCCAAGAAAAACCUUGAAGAACUUCUAGCACAGCAUUUAUAGAACCUCGCUCUGCAAGAUUCCUGAAAAGCUCGCCAGUCGCGACCAAGUUUUCCCUCCCGCAGCAGCAGCGAUUAGCAAGAUCAACUCCAGGAAGUGACCCUCUGACCUGAGACCAAAUAAAGAAGCUGAUGGAGAAAGCUGAAGCUGUAGAUCGCCUUCAGGGUUUGCCUAUUACUCAUAAAACUCUGUUUAUUGUUAUGCUUAGGUCCCACCCACAUUAACUAUAUCUCUAAAUGAAAAAUCUUUCCUACAGUCUGAAUUAUGGCGAGUUGUAGCUUCUGUCAGACCAGUAACACUGCAUAGACCCACAAAAAAAGCUGUUUAUCAAUUUCAAGCCUGUUUGUUAACUUUAUAUGCCUUUUUGCUAUUUCAAAAUUAUAUAUCUAUAAAUAUUAGCAAAAUUAUAGAUAAAUUCAUUAUAAAUUGUAAUAAUUGUACUCUACUUGUAUUUUUGUAAAACCUAAUGCAAAAGUCAUUUUUAUUGUGCACCAUCCCCCAUAUUUGAUAAUUUCUGUUGCUUUAAAUUCUAUGUAGUUUAAUGAUUAUGGGCUACAAGCACUUUGUGGUACCAGCACUCUCUUACUUUGGGAAAGCAUUUUGUGGCAACUUUCAUUCUUGGUAUUGCUGCACUCAUUACCUUAGCAACUUCCCUUUCUUUUUCAGCUGUAGCCCUAGUACAAGAGACCCACACUGCCGCUUACUGAUUAGUUGUCUAAAAAUGUAUCAUUGGCUUUAGCCACUCAAAAGUUUAUUGAUCAAAAAUUAAAGUCUAAAGUUAAUGCCCUUAAAGAGACCCUAUUUAUGGUCCUACUGUUUUUAUGCUUGUACAUCAGCCUUCUUAUGUUAUUCUUCCUGUAGUUUUAAAAGAGCCCUAGUAUAAUGAUCCAGAAAUACAAGUUCUUCAGUUUAUUAAUCAUGCUUUAAGCCACCCAAAGCAGUUUGUAGCUGCCUUAAUAUUAGGAAUCACUGCAUUAAUUACACUCAUCAGCUCAUUUGCAUUAUCCACUACUGCUUUAGUACAAGAAAUCCACACACCCAACCACGUAGACACUUUAAGCAAAAAUGUUUCAGUAGCUUUAUAUUUACAAGAGCAGAUUAAUUUAAAAAUUGAGGCAUGAAUUAAUGUUUUAGAAAAAACCCUGCUGUAUGUAGAAAAUCAAGUCCAAAAUUUAAAAACCCGCUUGAUCACCAAAUGUUACAGUCAGUAUAAUAAAUUUGCAUGACUCCCUACUUAUAUAAUUCCACUGAAACUUCUUGGGACAGUGUGAAAAAUCAUUUAUUAGGUAUUUGUGAUAAUUCUAAUACUUCUUUAAAUAUGGCCAAUUUACACAAAAAGAUAAGAGCUAUUAGUGAAACUCAUGUAUCCUCAGCCACAGCUCCUAAAGUUGCUAAUUCUUUCCUGGCUACCCUGUGACCAUAUACUACCCAUACUGCUUGGUUUCCCUUUUUUAUAAAUUUCAGAAUGUCAGCAUUAAUUAUACUCUCCCUUCUACUCCUUUUCCCAGUCUUCAUCCAACUGCUGAGCACAAGAAUAUGAAUAACCCAUUUGAAAUUGAAGAUGCUUCAAUUAGCUGCAAAAAAUAAAAAAGGGGGAGAUGGCGCAGGCCCCUCAUAGCUGGCCCCUGCUAAUUCCCGCACUUAUUUUUGCAGUUAUGAUGUUGGUGAUUGGGCUCAUAUAUGGGAAAUCUUAUGUACUUAAGAUUUAUUCAUCUUUAGUAAAUAACAUAACCCAAAAUAUUGACCAAAGCAGCAAUUCCGGAAAUGAAAGCAGUGUUAUGGGACCAACUGUUCCAGGCAUACUGCCGCAAAUAAGUGAGGCAGAACAGCCCGGGCCUCUCUUAAAACUAGAUGCAGUUUGUCCUCCCCUUUGUAACAAUUCAAACAUGACUAACCGGGAUUUCUUUAGAAUAUUGGCAGAGAAGGAGUUAUUGGAACCUAGGCCAUGGAAAAACCCAUUCUCCCAAGAAACUUAUAUGAAACAGCAAAGUAAUAAAGAUUAAUAGUCCCCACUGCCCAGGGCCCCCCUUAUGUUGCUUAUAAUAUUAGAAGACACCUCUGAUAACCCCCUCAUAGAAAGAAUUUAUGAGCAAAAUAAAAUUUAUAUUUACAAAUAUCCCAUAUAUAAAAGUUUAUGACAAAUUUAUAAAAUAUUAGUAUAUUAAUAGUAAGGUAAUAAGAGCAGAUUUAGUGUUAUUAUAUAAAGGAUAAAGAGGACUGCAAGGCCCUGGUGCCUGUAGAUGCAGGAGGAAAGGUGUAAACAUCUGAAAUUGUGGAAUGAAUAUUAUAAAAGAAUAAGGUGUUUUUAUUGUAUUCAUAUGAAUGUUAAGGAAUGGGUGACAGGAGUACCAUCCCUAGAUUUUAGAUGUAAGUCUCAACUCACAUGUGUAGGAUAGGAUUUAAUUAAUAAUAUAGCUACACUUAAUAACCAAAAGACAUAUAGCUUGCAUUUUAUAUAACCUGAUUAAACUUUACAUAGCCUUAGACACACACCUUAGACACAUAUCUAAAAGACUAUAUAAUCUUACACACUUAAAGUAAAAAUCAUAGCCCACACGCUUAACCCACACGCUGCCUUAUGCCAUUUUCUGUUUAGCACCUAGCACAUAGCUUACAUGAAUUACUAAUCACAAUAGACUAGGGGAAAGUUAAAAAUUAAAUGUUAAAUGGCUACUAUAAGAAGAAAUAAUGAUAUUUAAUUAAGGGUAAUAAGCUGAAAUUAUGUAAACUGACAGAAAAAGGAUUGUAUUAUUCAU
Manis javanica (Malayan pangolin) is the source of this 4842-nucleotide non-coding RNA. The record is from RefSeq and is a predicted model, not a curated record. Lineage: Eukaryota; Metazoa; Chordata; Mammalia; Pholidota; Manidae.